This 403-nucleotide ribosomal RNA is filed under the name uncultured Pseudomonadota bacterium. Its description in RNAcentral is "bacterial SSU rRNA". It matches the Rfam family "Bacterial small subunit ribosomal RNA", at positions 356 to 774 of the family's 1533-position model. The record is from RNAcentral. Lineage: Bacteria; Pseudomonadati; Pseudomonadota.
GGGGAAUAUUGCACAAUGGGCGCAAGCCUGAUGCAGCGACGCCGCGUGAGCGAAGAAGGUUUUCGGAUCGUAAAGCUCUGUCCUCUGGGAAGAAAAAAUGACGGUACCAGAGGAGGAAGCCCCGGCUAACUUCGUGCCAGCAGCCGCGGUAAUACGAAGGGGGCUAGCGUUGUUCGGAAUUACUGGGCGUAAAGCGCACGUAGGCGGGCAUUUAAGUCAGGGGUGAAAUCCCAGAGCUCAACUCUGGAACUGCCUUUGAUACUGGGUGUCUUGAGUAUGGAAGAGGUAAGUGGAAUUCCGAGUGUAGAGGUGAAAUUCGUAGAUAUUCGGAGGAACACCAGUGGCGAAGGCGGCUUACUGGUCCAUUACUGACGCUGAGGUGCGAAAGCGUGGGGAGCAAACA